Molecule: long non-coding RNA, 3014 nt
Organism: Ruditapes philippinarum (Manila clam)
Lineage: Eukaryota; Metazoa; Mollusca; Bivalvia; Venerida; Veneridae
Exons: 8
Source: RefSeq, a predicted model, not a curated record
CAUUUUCCACCAAAAGGCAUGUUCAUUUUUUAAUUUGACUCAAAUGCCAUUUCAUAUAGAAGCAGUUUGUUUGUCUACUUAAUAUAUCAAUUCUGGAAAUACCUGUUCUUUUCAUAUCUAGAUUAAAGAUAUCUAUUUUCAUACCCCAGCUGUGCUUUGUCUGUAAGUGUUUUACUUUAGUUAAUUGUGACAGCUGUGACUAUUUUAAGAAGCGAAAUACUGGGACAGUUCUAAUGGUACAGUUCUAAUGGAGACAAUAAGUUACUGUUACAAGUGUGACAGUAAACCAUUAGUUCAAAAAAUUCCUUGUGCAACAGAUUAGUGUUGCUACUUUGCUAUUUUCUGAAUCCAGUGCGACUGUAUGGUACUAGUUGUAAUUCUAGUGUAAGUAAUUUAAUAGCUGCUGUAGCAAGUACAUUACAUAACUAGGGCAGUGCUAAUGUAAGAAGUUGACUACUUGACACAUGAGACUACAAUGCUGUAUAAGAAGUUAGCUACUGUGACAGGUUGUUACUGCAGUUUUAGUGUAAGGCAUUAGCUACUGUGACUACAUCACUAGUGUAAGAAGUUAGAAAUUGACACAUGCAAAUACAAAGUAAUUUGUAGCUGCUGUGACAGAUGCUUCUACACUACAAGUGUAAGAAGUUAGCUACUGUAAGAAGUUAGCAACUGAGAUAGAUGUAGCUACAAUAAAAGUGUCGCAAGUUAGCUUCUGUGACUUCAAUAUUUACGUAAGACGUUAGCAACUGAUACAGAUGAAGCUGCAAUACUAGUGUAGCUACUGUGACAGAUAUAAGUUACAGGUGUAACUGUAAAGUACUAACGUACUACUAGCAAUGUGGUAGAUAUAUAUAUAGUAGACAGUAUAGUACCGUAUACAGUAUCAAUAUAUUGAUCUGAAAUUUCAGGUAUCUGCAUCCAGACACAUUAUUAUCCAAUGCUAACUGAUGUCCAGACUUGUGAGACUAACCCCCCCAAAGUAAUCGAAAACUAGUGUGAACUCGGAACUGCCACAGUGUGACACUGGACAUUGAAAUUAUUCCAUAAAGUUUUCUCCAGAAUGGUUUCAAAUAGCCAGCUGUAGCAGUAGAAUUGGUGAACACGUUUGGACCAAGAGGAAAGAAACAAAGUUGAAAACAGGACCAGUAUGCCGUCACACUUGUCAGCAGCCUGCAGCAUUUCAUUAGCAGCAGUAUGCAAGAUUUGUCGUGAGUACUUUGUGGACCCUGAUGUCUCAAUAUUCUGCAGAAGAUUUUUAUUGCCAGCAGUCGACACAUGGACCACUAUAGUCUUCAUAUCUUAGCAUUUUGCAGCACUUUGUCAAAUAUCAGUCCAGUCUGACAGUAUCAUGUUGCUAAGUCUGUUGGCAGCUGAAUUUGGUCACUAUGGUAAUUUAGACUUAGUAAUAGGUCUUUUUAAGUCCUGGUUACUAAAAAGCUUGCUGGUUAUAUUUGAUUACUAAAAGAGACACUGUUUGGCAUAGCUAUGUUUGAUACUUUUGAAGUUACUUAGAAGUUAUAUGAACACCUAGCAUAUUAUACCAGGUUAUGCUAUCAAGCUUGUUAUUAAAAAAAGGACAUCUUGCUUUUGUGAGUUGAUAAAGAUCUAUGAUCAGUAGACCAACCUUGUCUACCUCAAAACCUCCAUCUUGCCAUCUUCAACAAUACAUGACAUGAAGCUCCUUUGUAUAAACUUAAUGACAUACAUAGAUAGUAAAAAUGGCAAGAGGACAAUGUAUAUUGUGCCAAAGCCUUGUUUCUUUGAAUGUCUUGAGUAGAGAACAAUCUGAAGUGCAUCAAAGCUUUGUUGUUAGACCUGAAUGCUACACCAUCUCUGCAUCAUUGGAAUGCCUAAUUAAGAGAAAAACAAUGCACACUUUUAUGAGAAUAAUAUUCCAUAGACUGGUUUAUGUUGCAAGAAAUCCUUGUUACCAGUAUGAUUGUUCAUUGUACAAUGAAUAUGAUAAUGGACACUGUAUGCUGCACAAAAAAAGCCAUGUUAUUGGAAUGCCUACCCUACAGGACAAUUUAUGCUGCACUCAAGCUUUGUCGUGAGAAUGCCAAGCUUCUAGGACCAGUUAGACGCUUUCUGACUUGAACAAAAAAAAAUGGUGUUGGUUUUUGUUAGACGAUUGUUGACUCCACUAGCGUUAUUAUAGAAACCAGCAGCUCUGUUUACUGGCAUGUUUGAAGGAAGUGAGGAACAAGCUAUAUGAUUGUAUGGUGACACAUUGAGCAGACGACAGUGACAAGGUGACUUGUAAAGAACUAUGUAAACAACUAGAAAAGACGGAGUUCAACAGCCCGCAGAGAUGCUGAUGAUUAGUAUCGUUUCCAAAUGGUGUAUAAAUAGGUGUCAUGUUGUCAGAAGAAAGUUGUGCUAGUUGUAGACAGUUGUCAUAAAGUUUCAUAUUAUUUGUCAUUGGCUGGAAGUCUAGUGAAGACGUCAUGGAUUGUCUUUGAGUGUAACGUUGUAAGGAUGUUGAAGAAAAAGUGGACCAAAUUGUUAUGAAAUGUAAUCUUUGAUGCUGGAAUUCCUUGUCAAGAAUGUCUUUUUGAUAUGUUUGAUGAACAUUUUCUACAUGUAUGGAAUUAGAAAAUCACUUGCCCUAAUCGAGUAAGGUAAAAAUUGCCUCAUUUUUGUGGGUUUAUUAAUAAACCUGAGAAUGAAUAUUUAUGUUAUGUCAACAAUAUAUAUUUCAACAAUGAAUAUGUAGAGAAUUUUUAAAAAAUAAUCUUUGAUCAGGGUUUACUGAUAAACCCAUUACUUGCCAUAACACCAGUGUAGAGUCAACACUCCCAUAGAGACUACUGUAUAUUAAAACAUUGAAUGGACUGUUCUUGAUUCACAACAGGGCAAAUCCAUAACAAAAAAAAUCAGCGAGUUAAGAAAUGUUUUCAAAACCAAAUACAGUAUAUAUUGCAUACUUGUGUUUUCCUUAGUCAAGUGUUGGCACAAUGUUGCUAGAUAAAAUGUAAAAGAAGACAUUUACACAUUACAACUUCUUCUCCAAC